This 252-nucleotide long non-coding RNA is filed under the name Physcomitrium patens. RNAcentral's name for it is "long non-coding RNA (PPAT_LNC001994)". Lineage: Eukaryota; Viridiplantae; Streptophyta; Bryopsida; Funariales; Funariaceae. The record is from RNAcentral.
AAUCUAUAAUUAAUCAAAAGAAAGUAUAUUCAUGUACAAUCAUGAUAAUCUAAUCUUCAAUACCACUGUCAAUAGUGAUAGCCGGUGUAAUCUUUAAUUAUAGAACCUUUAUUAUUUGUUUUAAAAAGAAAAGAAUCUUCCACAAAUAUAUCUCAUUGCCUUGUUCUCUGUUGAGAUGAGGGUGGAGUUGGCCUCCCCUUCCUUUAUAAGAAGAAUCACUUUGCUUUCUUUGUCCAUGCAUUCUAUCUCUUC